RNAcentral lists this small RNA (313 nucleotides) under Pongo abelii (Sumatran orangutan). Its description in RNAcentral is "processed transcript". The record is from RNAcentral. Lineage: Eukaryota; Metazoa; Chordata; Mammalia; Primates; Hominidae.
GCAGGCGCUUCCCUGUGUGGCCGAGUCGCCGACCGUCCACGUGGAGGUGCAUCAGCGCGGCAGCAGCACUGCAAAGAAAGAAGACAUAACCCUGAGUGUUAGAAAGCUACUCAACAGACAUAAUAUUGUGUUUGGGGAUUACACAUGGACUGAGUUUGAUGAACCUUUUUUGACCAGAAAUGUGCAGUCUGUGUCUAUUGUUGACACAGAAUUAAAGGUUAAAGACUCACAGCUGAAUGAAGAUGGCCCCAGCAGUGAAAAUCUGGAGGAAGAGACAGAAAACAUAAUUGCAGCAAAUCACUGGGUUCUACCU